CUCAAAGAUUAAGCCAUGMAGUGGUUAUUUAACCCGACAGUUUAACUAAGUGUUAUUAACGUCAAUAGAUUACUAAUCUAUACAACCCACGUAACAGUGAAUGCACAUUUCACUUACGCAACUGCAGACAGCUGCUUAAUACAGUCACACUUGUCUUGACUUGGCUAUUGCUAUAUUCACGCUUAAUGCGCGAAUCGGCACUACACAACACAUACUUGCUUACGAUAAUAAUUAUAUUAUUAUCGGGUAAUACGUGAUUUCUUCACUGAGAAGCUAUUGCAUUACUGCAGUACGCUUAUCAUACCAUUACAACACAUCUUAUGGAUAACUCAGGGAAAGUUUGGCUAAUACGUACGAGUCACAUUACUUCACACAGCAAUUGUUAUUCGCAAUCUGUCGCGUCUACCGCAUUCAUGAAACAAACAUUAAUUAUAAAUGCGCGCGCGCACUCAUCUGCGAAAUAACUAAACUAAUUACUCAGCACUCAAUGGUAAACUUAUGCGUCUGCGUACUUCUGUCUUCGGACGAUGCGCUUACGCAUGAUUCGUUUAACUGCAACAUGAGAGACAUUGAGCACGCAGUCUUUCGAUCCUUCGUGAUUGAUUGACAUCUACGCUGAGCAGACUUUAAGAUUCUUAAUCUUGAAGCAUGUCAUACAAGCAUCUAUAGCAUCAAGUCACAGGGUUGGCAAGUGUAUUUUUGAACCUUCAAAGCAGUCACGCAUACGGAAGAGUAGUUUCUGAUCCCAUAGAAGGAGCACUGUACAUUGAGAGACCGCUCUUAGUUCUAAGGAACGCAGCAGGCGCGUAAAUUGCCCAAUAAUAGUACAAAAACACAGUGAACAUUUCUAGCUCUCAUAUCAUCUAUUGAGGCAGUGAUAAGCUGUAACGGUUGAGUAUUAAUCUAAUUUGACGUGUAUAUGGCGUGCGUUAUACGUUUACGCGUAUAUUACUGCAUACGCCGAUACUAUGUGUGCUCAGUCUGGAAUGCGGUGAGUCUAAACAACUCAGAACCUACGUUAUCAUAUACGUGUAUCUGAAUUUUCAAGUGGAGGGCAAGUCUGGUGCCAGCAGCCGCGGUAAUACCAGCUCCACUGGCCUAUACAAUCAUUGUUGCGGUUAAGAGGCUCGUAGUUGGAUUGAACUAAAUAUUUUUAUAUAUAUUUACAACACUGUGAUCAAAUCAGCAUGUAUCACGUAUGUAUUACUAAUACACGCAUUGUAUGUUUAUUCAUGGAAUGUUGCUCUGUAUUUUAUUAUACAAUUAUACGUCGAUGGGGAUAGUUGGAGUCAACAGUACUAGUAGGCGAGCGGUGAAAUGCAUUGACCCUUUCAAGACUACCAAAAGCGAAAGCAGUUGUCUAGGCUAUAUUCUUUGUACUUGUAUACCAUCAUUAUACAAUACACAUACACACUUUACAAUGAAGAACGAAGGUUGGGGGAUCAAAGAGGAUCAGAUACCCUCGUCGUCCCAUUUUAUACAUCAAACGAUGGGUUCUCACUCGACCAAAAAUACAUAUCAAGACUUGUAGUACAUACUUCUGUACUCGUCUAUAUUACUGAUUUUCUAAGCUUUGCGCUCAAUUUUAUACGGUGAGAUGUAAGUAAUGGCUGUAUCUUUAUGAUGCAUGCUAUAUUAUGAUGCACGUAUUAGGCAUGCGCUUACUGCAGAAAUGUCUGAGAUAUUCCCCUCCGGGGGUAGUAUGCACGCAAGUGUGAAACUUGAAGGAAUUGACGGAAGGGCACCACAAGAACGCGUGGAGCAUGUGGCUUAAUUUGACUCAACGCGGGAAAUCUUACCGGGUCCGGACACACUGAGGAUUGACAGACAAACACAUUUAUGUGUUAUAAAGAUGCUAGUUCUUUCAUGAUUAUGUGAUAGGUGGUGCAUGGCCGUUCUUAGUUCGUGGAGUGAUCCGUCUGCUUAAUUGCGUUUCAAUAUUUUAUUACGUAUACGUAUGACCAACUACCUUUACCGGUAUGUUUGUGUCUAGUAUGCUAUCAUUUGAAAGCAACGAACGUGACCGUAUCCUUUUAUUAUGUACGCACGCGUAUAUUUAUUUCAUUAAAGGGACCGCUGUUUCUUUCUUUAAACCAGAGGAAGGUUACGGCAAUAACAGGUCUGUGAUGCCCUUCGAUGUUCCGGGCUGCACACGUGCUACAAUGAUUAUUUCAUUAAGUAUCUAAUCUUUUUAUGUAUCGUACCUCUGUGUAUGUUCAAAAAUACCUACCCUGAGAAUGGGCGGGUAAUCAAUUAGAAGUAAUGAUUUCCUUUUUUUAAUACGCAACUAUGUACCGUAUAUUACAUCCCACAUAUUUUCAAUAUAUGUGCGUGUGUGUUUUAUUACCGUGUACGCGUAACUGUUAAUUCAUGGUGGGGAUAGACCAUUGUUAAUUGUUGGUCUCGGUCUUAACUAGGAAUGCCUUGUACGGGUCAUUGGUUCAACAAACCACCCGGAAUACGUCCCUGCCCUUUGUACACACCGCCCGUCGCUCUUACCGAUGAACUUCGCUAUGAAUCUAUUGGACUGUGCUCUCUUAUGAGUGCGGAAAGAUAUAUGAAUAGUGUGGUUUAAAGGAAAGAGAAGUCGUAACAAGGCAUCAGUAGGUGAACCUGCUGAUGGAUCAUUA
This 2630-nucleotide ribosomal RNA is filed under the name Elphidium aculeatum. RNAcentral describes it as "SSU rRNA". It matches the Rfam family "Eukaryotic small subunit ribosomal RNA". The record is from RNAcentral. Lineage: Eukaryota; Foraminifera; Rotaliida; Elphidiidae.